UACGGGGGGAGCAAGCGUUGUUCGGAUUUACUGGGCGUAAAGGGCGCGUAGGCGGCCAGCACAAGUCAGUUGUGAAAUCUCCGAGCUUAACUCGGAAAGGUCAACUGAUACUGUGCGGCUAGAGUGCGGAAGGGGCAACUGGAAUUCUUGGUGUAGCGGUGAAAUGCGUAGAUAUCAAGAGGAACACCUGCGGCGAAGGCGGGUUGCUGGGCCGACACUGACGCUGAUGCGCGAAAGCUAGGGUAGCAAACGGG
RNAcentral lists this ribosomal RNA (254 nucleotides) under uncultured bacterium. RNAcentral describes it as "partial 16S ribosomal RNA". It matches the Rfam family "Bacterial small subunit ribosomal RNA", at positions 524 to 776 of the family's 1533-position model. The record is from RNAcentral.